RNAcentral lists this long non-coding RNA (208 nucleotides) under Lathyrus oleraceus (garden pea). RNAcentral's name for it is "Pisum sativum (pea) long non-coding RNA (PSAT_LNC019791)". The record is from RNAcentral. Lineage: Eukaryota; Viridiplantae; Streptophyta; Magnoliopsida; Fabales; Fabaceae.
UUUGGAGUUGGUUUGCCUUGGAAACCCUAGUUUGUCUAGGUAUCUUGAGUAACUUCUUCAACAAGCUUCCUCACCAAUUGAUCAAAUUUCUCAAGGUACAAUUCAAAAUUCAUCAUCUUAUUCAUAUAUGAUCUACCAUGAGCCUAAAAAGUCAAGAGAAUUGCAAGUUAGCAAGUUAGUUGAUGGUGGUUGACCAGAUGAAUUCAUC